Molecule: ribosomal RNA, 253 nt
Filed under: uncultured bacterium
Lineage: Bacteria
Description: partial 16S ribosomal RNA
Rfam family: Bacterial small subunit ribosomal RNA
Source: RNAcentral
UACGGAGGGGGCAAGCGUUGUCCGGAUGUAUUGGGCGUAAAGAGCGUGUAGGCGGCCAGGUAGGUCGGUUGUGAAAACUGGAGGCUUAACCUCCAGACGUGGACCGAAACCAUCUGGCUAGAGUCCGGAAGAGGAGAGUGGAAUUCCUGGUGUAGCGGUGAAAUGCGCAGAUAUCAGGAAGAACACCCGUGGCUAAGGCGGCUCUCUAGUACGGUACUGACGCUGAGACGCGCAAGCGUGGGGAGCGAACAGG